This 143-nucleotide ribosomal RNA is filed under the name uncultured eukaryote. RNAcentral's name for it is "partial 18S ribosomal RNA". It matches the Rfam family "Eukaryotic small subunit ribosomal RNA", at positions 1299 to 1458 of the family's 1831-position model. The record is from RNAcentral.
UGGUGGAGUGAUUUGUCUGGUUAAUUCCGUUAACGAACGAGACCUCAGCCUGCUAAAUAGACUGACGAACACUCUGGUGUUCGUAUCAGUGCUUCUUAGAGGGACUGUCUGUAUCUAGCAGAAGGAAGUUUGAGGCAAUAACA